AGUGAACGCUGGCGGUAGGCCUAACACAUGCAAGUCGAACGGCAGCACAGUAAGAGCUUGCUCUUACGGGUGGCGAGUGGCGGACGGGUGAGGAAUAUAUCGGAAUCUACUUUUUCGUGGGGGAUAACGUAGGGAAACUUACGCUAAUAUCGCAUACGACCUUCGGGUGAAAGCAGGGGAUCUUCGGACCUUGCGCGAUUGAACGAGCCGAUGUCGGAUUAGCUAGUUGGCGGGGUAAUGGCCCACCAAGGCGACGGUCCGUAGCUGGUCUGAGAGGAUGAUCGGCCACACUGGAACUGAGACACGGUCCAGACUACUACGGGAGGCAGCAGUGGGGAAUAUUGGACAAUGGGCGCAAGCCUGAUCCAGCCAUACCGCGUGGGUGAAGAAGGCCUUCGGGUUGUAAAGCCCUUUUGUUGGGAAAGAAAAGCAGCAGGUUAAUACCCCGCUGUUCUGACGGUACCCAAAGAAUAAGCACCGGCUAACUUCGUG
RNAcentral lists this ribosomal RNA (492 nucleotides) under uncultured bacterium. RNAcentral's name for it is "partial 16S ribosomal RNA". It matches the Rfam family "Bacterial small subunit ribosomal RNA", at positions 29 to 507 of the family's 1533-position model. The record is from RNAcentral.